This 425-nucleotide ribosomal RNA is filed under the name uncultured bacterium. RNAcentral describes it as "bacterial SSU rRNA". It matches the Rfam family "Bacterial small subunit ribosomal RNA", at positions 917 to 1344 of the family's 1533-position model. The record is from RNAcentral.
GGGCCCGCACAAGCGGUGGAGUAUGUGGUUUAAUUCGAUGCAACGCGAAGAACCUUACCAGGGCUUAAAUGCAUAAUGACAGGGGUAGAGAUACCCUUUUCUUCGGACAUUUUGCAAGGUGCUGCAUGGUUGUCGUCAGCUCGUGCCGUGAGGUGUCAGGUUAAGUCCUAUAACGAGCGCAACCCCUGUUGUUAGUUGCCAGCGAGUAAUGUCGGGAACUCUAGCAAGACUGCCGGUGCAAACCGUGAGGAAGGUGGGGAUGACGUCAAAUCAUCACGGCCCUUACGUCCUGGGCCACACACGUGCUACAAUGGUAGGUACAACGAGUCGCAAUACCGCGAGGUGGAGCAAAUCUCUUAAAGCUUGUCUCAGUUCGGAUAGGAGUCUGCAACUCGACUCCUUGAAGUUGGAGUCGCUAGUAAUCG